CUUCUCUUAUUCUAGUUUUGAAACAAAAGUACAUUUUCAACCCAGGCUGGCCUCAAACACUCCAUAGUUAUGAAUAACCUUGAACUCCUGGUUUUCCUCAAGCCUACGUGUGUGGCCACACCCAGCUGUUGUCUACCCUCACCCCUUCCUUUUUAAUCCAGAAAAGAAGCUUUGGGAAUUACAAAUGACCAUCGAUUCCUUCUGAAAGUGAGCCUGCAGGUUCCAGCGAGGAUCUGAACCAACGGAAUUCCAGAAGCACACCGCGAUCCACCAAGUGAGAACUGUGGUAGGCGGUACCAUUCCACAUGAGAACAGCACAUGAAAUUCAUCCUGGCUCCGCUGUGCCUACCCACCUGCCUGUUAACAGGAACAAUGAGCAGCUCUUCUUUGGUCGAUGCUAAAAAUAAAGGGUCCUACCAAUG
This 422-nucleotide long non-coding RNA is filed under the name Rattus norvegicus (Norway rat). Its description in RNAcentral is "long non-coding RNA NONRATT016176". The record is from RNAcentral. Lineage: Eukaryota; Metazoa; Chordata; Mammalia; Rodentia; Muridae.